Molecule: transfer RNA, 89 nt
Filed under: Verrucomicrobiota bacterium
Lineage: Bacteria; Pseudomonadati; Verrucomicrobiota
Description: Verrucomicrobia bacterium (rhizosphere metagenome) tRNA-Ser
Rfam family: tRNA
About the family: Transfer RNA (tRNA) molecules are approximately 80 nucleotides in length.
Source: RNAcentral
GGUGAGGUGGCUGAGUGGUCGAAAGCGGCGCUUUGCUAAAGCGUUGUACUCUUUAUCGGGUACCGAGGGUUCGAAUCCCUCCCUCACCG